AUAAAAUUACGUUACGAUAAAAUUAUUGUUUAUCUUUCUCACACCGCGCGCCUUCUGUCAACGAAUUAGGGGAGGAUACCCCCUUCGAAUCUACACUCUGCCUGAAAUAUUUAUCGUCGUUUCAUCCAAUUGCUCGUUGAGUCACACUCCCAGUAUAAAUUAUUCGAGUGUACCGAUCCGCCUGCUGGUGAUUCGAGUAUACCCGGUAGAUUGGAAUGGAGAAACGGUAUGUUACGGUACUUUUUAGUCAAGUAUUCGAUGGGACUCCGGAUUCCAAGAGUACAGUCUGCGUUUCAAGAGAGCUCAAAACAUUUCAGAUAUCACAUCUGAUUCAAGAUACAUUAUCAAAACUUGUCUUACGCAAUCACAACGAAUCGCAAACACCGUAUCUUUCGGUGCCCGUAACGCGUGCGUAUUUCAAAAUAAUUUUACCGAUAAACAGCGGUACAUGAAUUGGAAGUGAGUUAUUUCUCUGAAUGAGAAAUCGAAAAAAACUUCUCUCCGGUAUUCGAAUUAUGAGAAGAACAUUAGGGUCCCAAAGUGGACCAUGUGCACUUGGUAUCCUUGUCAAAACAGCUUGUAACUAAAAUAGAAUAUUCAGUCGCAACAACUUGCGCUAAAUUUUAACUCUGCACUGUUAGACAAAGAGCUGGUUUUCGAACUUGACGGGUUUAUAGCGAUAUUCAGCUGAGAGUACAUGCCAUAUGGCAAGAUUCUACUACACGUGCCCAUCGGCGCCGGCAGUGCUACCGCUAGAAGCGUAGCCGCCAUCUUGGUCCAUCGACUAUUAGCAAUCGUAUUUCAUCGGUCGUAGUGUUAUGCUGCUAAAAUUAAAAAAACAAAACGAUGAUUAUGAGGAACUAUCUGUACCCGGCCUUCAGAUUUACCUGAUUCAAAUUGUCGAAUAAACGGCAAUUUUUGAUUUUUAAUUUCGCGUGUCAUGAUGGGGGCGUAAGUUAAUGGCUAGUAGAUAUUGUACUUUCACCUACACAAAACUGUGGAAUAAGCAGACGCAGAUUACAUAUGGUAAACUUUCCAUGCGGCUGGUUGACUUGCCAAGAAACUCGUCCGCGAACCAGUACCACGAUGCUAGUACCUUUUUCUCCGUUAUAAACAAUCAUCUAUAACUAGUUCAUUCAUUAUUGGCGCACGUAUGAUGUGGACACAGUUGGAUCUCAUUGUUCUAACUAGUGUUGGCGUUAAAUGUUGUAAAUUAUACCGAAGACUCGUUAGACAAUAAUGCGAGAUGACAACGAAAAAAAAAAAAGAUUACCAUGAGUCAGAUAAGAUUCCGACCCUCGACCCAUAUCGACAACUAUAUAACACGACAUGUGAUCGAAAACCUACAUCUAUGGAGUCGCAGGAAAGGCAUGGUAUGAAAUCAUAGUGUAUGAGAUGAAUGUUCUUGCAUUAUAAACCAGGAUCGUAGGCUUUCUCUUAGGUUGACGGAGCUUCAACCUGCAGGGGUCCUCCGAAAUCUAAAUUACUUCGCCAUACCGGAUGACGCAUUCGGCAAAUAUACGUCGUCAGCGUCAGCAAAGUGACGCGAUGUUCGAAGAAAAAAACCGCAGUUGGGGUCACAGAGGAAAAGAAAUUUUGUUGUUUACACCACAAUCGAAUUUCUGCUGCAGAUCGCACUGCAAUUUGUGGAGGGAAUUUAAAAAACAAUAAGAAGGAAAGAGCUCGCCGAUCGUUGCAUCAUCCCCUGCGCAAAUAACAUUCAACCCCGUAUCACUGUAUUGUGCACCUUUGAUGGAUUUUUUUAAAAAUAAAACAAGCAUCAACGACGCAACUGAA
This is a long non-coding RNA of Athalia rosae (coleseed sawfly), 1797 nucleotides long. RefSeq lists it as uncharacterized. The record is from RefSeq and is a predicted model, not a curated record. Lineage: Eukaryota; Metazoa; Arthropoda; Insecta; Hymenoptera; Athaliidae. The transcript has 2 exons.